RNAcentral lists this ribosomal RNA (506 nucleotides) under uncultured bacterium. Its description in RNAcentral is "partial 16S ribosomal RNA". It matches the Rfam family "Bacterial small subunit ribosomal RNA", at positions 29 to 523 of the family's 1533-position model. The record is from RNAcentral.
AGUGAACGCUGGCGGUAGGCCUAACACAUGCAAGUCGAACGGCAGCACAGAGGAGCUUGCCCCUUGGGUGGCGAGUGGCGGACGGGUGAGGAAUACAUCGGAAUCUACUCUGUCGUGGGGGAUAACGUGGGGAAACUUACGCUAAUACCGCAUACGACCUACGGGUGAAAGCAGGGGACCUUCGGGCCCUGCGCGAUUGAAUGAGCCGAUGUCGGCUUAGCUAGUUGGGGGGGUAAAGGCCUACCAAGGGGACGAUCCGGAGAUGGUGUAGGAGGAUGAUCAGCCACACUGGAACUGAGACACGGUCCAGACUCCUACGGGAGGCAGCAGUGGGGAAUAUUGGACAAUGGGCGCAAGCCUGAUCCAGCCAUACCGCGUGGGUGAAGAAGGCCUUCGGGUUGUAAAGCCCUUUUGUUGGGAAAGAAAUCCAGCUGGCUAAUACCCGGUUGGGAUGACGGUACCCAAAGAAUAAGCACCGGCUAACUUCGUGCCAGCAGCCGCAGUAA